ACACUCCUACGGGAGGCAGCAGUGGGGAAUAUUGCACAAUGGGCGCAAGCCUGAUCCAGCCAUGCCGCGUGAGUGAUGAAGGCCCUAGGGUUGUAAAGCUCUUUCACCGGUGAAGAUAAUGACGGUAACCGGAGAAGAAGCCCCGGCUAACUUCGUGCCAGCAGCCGCGGUAAUACGAAGGGGGCUAGCGUUGUUCGGAUUUACUGGGCGUAAAGCGCACGUAGGCGGACUAUUAAGUCAGGGGUGAAAUCCCGGGGCUCAACCCCGGAACUGCCUUUGAUACUGGUAGUCUUGAGUUCGAGAGAGGUGAGUGGAAUUCCGAGUGUAGAGGUGAAAUUCGUAGAUAUUCGGAGGAACACCAGUGGCGAAGGCGGCUCACUGGCUCGAUACUGACGCUGAGGUGCGAAAGCGUGGGGAGCAAACAGGAUUAGAAACCCCAGUAGUCCCAUGA
RNAcentral lists this ribosomal RNA (451 nucleotides) under uncultured organism. RNAcentral describes it as "partial 16S ribosomal RNA". It matches the Rfam family "Bacterial small subunit ribosomal RNA", at positions 333 to 800 of the family's 1533-position model. The record is from RNAcentral.